RNAcentral lists this long non-coding RNA (1330 nucleotides) under Homo sapiens (human). RNAcentral describes it as "HSALNT0128416". Lineage: Eukaryota; Metazoa; Chordata; Mammalia; Primates; Hominidae. The record is from RNAcentral.
AACACUUGGCAGUGGUAGAGCGCCAGCACGUACUGCAGCGCCAGGUCCAGCGCCCCUGGCGCCACCGCGACCCCCGCCCCGCCGCCCAGGCUGAGUAGUAGCGCCUGGCCCGCUAGGGUCUGCAGCCCCACGUGGGCCGAGGGGUAGAGGAGGAAAUUGAAGACGAAGGCGUUGGGACAGCGCCGCUGCUGCAGGAUGGUGUUUCCCUUCCUGUUUGCUGAUCCACUGGGGCUGUCCCAGAAAGAGAACUACAACGCUACUCUUUCCCAUGCCUUGCUUGUCCACAGGUAAAUUUUCCUGGAUUAUGGCUAGCCAAAAACAAAUUCUGAAAAUAUAAAGAAUAGAUUGUAAUUGACAAACCCUUUGUUUUCAGGUUAUUCAUGUCAGGUUUCAGCAAUAACACAAAGCUCUCUUUGUCCUUGAAAAACAGAAAGAACCUCUUAACUUAUCAAGUAUUUAAAUCUUCUCAAAUAUGGUGGGGAGUCUAAUGCAUGAAUCCUGGCCUGGUACAUGGAAAGUGCUGUGAAAAAACUCAUUCUCAAGCCCCAUAUGCUGCUAAAUUUGCAACCACAAAUAGUUCUUAGGUAAAAGAUUGAGAGGCAUUAAAGAAUCUGCAAAGAUUUACAGUGGGAAUAAUUCAGGGGUUUGGGAUGUUAAGACUGAAAGAAAGGCAUAAGGACUCAGGGUUAUAUUUAGCCUGCAAAAGGGAAGUUGCCAGAGAACUUUAAUAAUGUUUCUAGGUCAUAAAAUAAACAUGAAAACGAUUGUGCCUUAUUGGCCUUUAUCUGCGGAUAAGGGAAAAUGAGUACGUAAAACAUGAGGAAGAAUUUAGGGUGGAAACAAAAUAACACUUUGAUUGAAUAUGUUCCUCAUUUAAAAAUAAAAGUGCACUUUUUUCUACAUGUAUUAUACUUCAAUAAAAAGUUAAAAGACAAAUUUUCAUACGUGUGGGGUUGCUUUGGAAUGGUCAGAGAGCUAGAUAGUUUCCUAAAGUUUGGUGAUCAUGAGUGUGGCCUCCGCCCUCAGAUUUUUUUGACUAAAUGCUAGCCACACUGCUUUCUGUUUGUAUGACCUUGGGCGAACCUCUAUCCUAGCUUCUUCUUGCCUCGUUUCUAAAGUGAGAUAAUGAGAGUAUUCAUCAACUAGUAUUGUUAUGGGGAUUAGAUAACAUAUGUGUCAUAGUUAUAAUUUGUUUUUCUUUUAAAAGGCAGAACAUUCAAAUAUUAGUGGUCUGAAGAGACAAAUUAUUUUUCUCUCAUGAAUAAUUUCUAGUACAUGUCUUGGACUGGCAUGGCGCCACUCAGUUUCUGGUAUCCAGAUUCUAUCUCAU